This 1403-nucleotide ribosomal RNA is filed under the name uncultured bacterium. RNAcentral's name for it is "bacterial SSU rRNA". It matches the Rfam family "Bacterial small subunit ribosomal RNA". The record is from RNAcentral.
UUUGAUCAUGGCUCAGGACGAACGCUGGCGGCGUGCCUAAUACAUGCAAGUAGAACGCUGAAGAGAGGAGCUUGCUCUUCUUGGAUGAGUUUGCGAACGGGUGAGUAACGCGUAGGUAACCUGCCUUGUAGCGGGGGAUAACUAUUGGAAACGAUAGCUAAUACCGCAUAACAAUAGGUGACACAUGUCAUUUAUUUGAAAGGGGCAAUUGCUCCACUACAAGAUGGACCUGCGUUGUAUUAGCUAGUAGGUGAGGUAACGGCUCACCUAGGCGACGAUACAUAGCCGACCUGAGAGGGUGAUCGGCCACACUGGGACUGAGACACGGCCCAGACUCCUACGGGAGGCAGCAGUAGGGAAUCUUCGGCAAUGGGGGCAACCCUGACCGAGCAACGCCGCGUGAGUGAAGAAGGUUUUCGGAUCGUAAAGCUCUGUUGUAAGUCAAGAACGAGUGUGAGAGUGGAAAGUUCACACUGUGACGGUAGCUUACCAGAAAGGGACGGCUAACUACGUGCCAGCAGCCGCGGUAAUACGUAGGUCCCGAGCGUUGUCCGGAUUUAUUGGGCGUAAAGCGAGCGCAGGCGGUUUGAUAAGUCUGAAGUUAAAGGCUGUGGCUCAACCAUAGUUCGCUUUGGAAACUGUCAAACUUGAGUGCAGAAGGGGAGAGUGGAAUUCCAUGUGUAGCGGUGAAAUGCGUAGAUAUAUGGAGGAACACCGGUGGCGAAAGCGGCUCUCUGGUCUGUAACUGACGCUGAGGCUCGAAAGCGUGGGGAGCGAACAGGAUUAGAUACCCUGGUAGUCCACGCCGUAAACGAUGAGUGCUAGGUGUUGGAUCCUUUCCGGGAUUCAGUGCCGCAGCUAACGCAUUAAGCACUCCGCCUGGGGAGUACGACCGCAAGGUUGAAACUCAAAGGAAUUGACGGGGGCCCGCACAAGCGGUGGAGCAUGUGGUUUAAUUCGAAGCAACGCGAAGAACCUUACCAGGUCUUGACAUCCCGAUGCUAUUUCUAGAGAUAGAAAGUUACUUCGGUACAUCGGUGACAGGUGGUGCAUGGUUGUCGUCAGCUCGUGUCGUGAGAUGUUGGGUUAAGUCCCGCAACGAGCGCAACCCCUAUUGUUAGUUGCCAUCAUUCAGUUGGGCACUCUAGCGAGACUGCCGGUAAUAAACCGGAGGAAGGUGGGGAUGACGUCAAAUCAUCAUGCCCCUUAUGACCUGGGCUACACACGUGCUACAAUGGUUGGUACAACGAGUUGCGAGUCGGUGACGGCAAGCUAAUCUCUUAAAGCCAAUCUCAGUUCGGAUUGUAGGCUGCAACUCGCCUACAUGAAGUCGGAAUCGCUAGUAAUCGCGGAUCAGCACGCCGCGGUGAAUACGUUCCCGGGCCUUGCACACACCGCCCGUC